Molecule: unclassified non-coding RNA, 229 nt
Filed under: plant metagenome
Description: partial contains small subunit ribosomal RNA, internal transcribed spacer 1, and 5.8S ribosomal RNA
Source: RNAcentral
UCUCCGUAGGUGAACCUGCGGAGGGAUCAUUACAGAGUUCAUGCCCUAACGGGUAGAUCUCCCACCCUAUGUUAUCAUCACUUUGUUGCUUUGGCGGGCCGUCAGGCCUCGGCUUGGCUACCGGCCCUCGCUGGUAAGCGCCCGCCAGAGAACCCCAAACCCCGAAUAUCAGUGUCGUCUGAGUACUAUAUAAUAGUUAAAACUUUCAACAACGGAUCUCUUGGUUCUG